This is a long non-coding RNA of Amblyraja radiata (thorny skate), 177 nucleotides long. RefSeq lists it as uncharacterized. The transcript is spliced from 3 exons. The record is from RefSeq and is a predicted model, not a curated record. NCBI's taxonomy places the organism in Eukaryota, Metazoa, Chordata, Chondrichthyes, Rajiformes, Rajidae.
AGCUGUUGAAACCUACAAGGAUCAAAUGAAAUCUUCAUCCAGUCUCUCACAAAAAGGAAUCAGAGAUCCAGCAAAUGGAGCAGCAACAGAAACAGAAGAUUUCUGGAGUUCUGGAACAGUCACACAACCUUCAGUCCAAGAUUACAUCCCAGUUUGCUGAACAGCACAAGAUUCUCA